This 26-nucleotide unclassified non-coding RNA is filed under the name Mus musculus (house mouse). Its description in RNAcentral is "oocyte_clustered_small_RNA13170". The record is from RNAcentral. Lineage: Eukaryota; Metazoa; Chordata; Mammalia; Rodentia; Muridae.
UGGAAGAGUCAGACUCAUGAGGAUCU